Long non-coding RNA from Alosa sapidissima (American shad), 101 nucleotides. RefSeq lists it as uncharacterized. The record is from RefSeq and is a predicted model, not a curated record. NCBI's taxonomy places the organism in Eukaryota, Metazoa, Chordata, Actinopteri, Clupeiformes, Clupeidae. The transcript has 3 exons.
UUUGACCUUGUCGCUCUGUAAGUCAUUGGUAUUUUGCGCUGAGCCCAGCAGCAAGCACAACAAAAAUCUUUGGGACGUUACCUCAACCAAGAGCAACCUAG